GACGAACGCUGGCGGCGUGCUUAACACAUGCAAGUCGAACGGAAAGGCCCUGCUUUUGUGGGGUGCUCGAGUGGCGAACGGGUGAGUAACACGUGAGUAACCUGCCCUUGACUUUGGGAUAACUUCAGGAAACUGGGGCUAAUACCGGAUAGGAGCUCCUGCUGCAUGGUGGGGGGUGGAAAGUUUCGGCGGUUGGGGAUGGACUCGCGGCUUAUCAGCUUGUUGGUGGGGUAGUGGCUUACCAAGGCUUUGACGGGUAGCCGGCCUGAGAGGGUGACCGGCCACAUUGGGACUGAGAUACGGCCCAGACUCCUACGGGAGGCAGCAGUGGGGAAUAUUGCACAAUGGGCGGAAGCCUGAUGCAGCAACGCCGCGUGCGGGAUGACGGCCUUCGGGUUGUAAACCGCUUUCGCCUGUGACGAAGCGCGAGUGACGGUAAUGGGUAAAGAAGCACCGGCUAACUACGUG
Molecule: ribosomal RNA, 468 nt
Filed under: uncultured bacterium
Lineage: Bacteria
Description: partial 16S ribosomal RNA
Rfam family: Bacterial small subunit ribosomal RNA
Source: RNAcentral